Molecule: ribosomal RNA, 783 nt
Filed under: Pseudomonas sp. B4(2013)
Lineage: Bacteria; Pseudomonadati; Pseudomonadota; Gammaproteobacteria; Pseudomonadales; Pseudomonadaceae
Description: bacterial SSU rRNA
Rfam family: Bacterial small subunit ribosomal RNA
Source: RNAcentral
GCAGUCGAGCGGAUGACGGGAGCUUGCUCCUUGAUUCAGCGGCGGACGGGUGAGUAAUGCCUAGGAAUCUGCCUGGUAGUGGGGGACAACGUUUCGAAAGGAACGCUAAUACCGCAUACGUCCUACGGGAGAAAGCAGGGGACCUUCGGGCCUUGCGCUAUCAGAUGAGCCUAGGUCGGAUUAGCUAGUAGGUGAGGUAAUGGCUCACCUAGGCGACGAUCCGUAACUGGUCUGAGAGGAUGAUCAGUCACACUGGAACUGAGACACGGUCCAGACUCCUACGGGAGGCAGCAGUGGGGAAUAUUGGACAAUGGGCGAAAGCCUGAUCCAGCCAUGCCGCGUGUGUGAAGAAGGUCUUCGGAUUGUAAAGCACUUUAAGUUGGGAGGAAGGGUUGUACGCUAAUACCGUGCAAUUUUGACGUUACCGACAGAAUAAGCACCGGCUAACUCUGUGCCAGCAGCCGCGGUAAUACAGAGGGUGCAAGCGUUAAUCGGAAUUACUGGGCGUAAAGCGCGCGUAGGUGGUUCGUUAAGUUGGAUGUGAAAGCCCCGGGCUCAACCUGGGAACUGCAUCCAAAACUGGCGAGCUAGAGUAUGGUAGAGGGUGGUGGAAUUUCCUGUGUAGCGGUGAAAUGCGUAGAUAUAGGAAGGAACACCAGUGGCGAAAGGCGACCACCUGGACUGAUACUGACACUGAGGUGCGAAAGCGUGGGGAGCAAACAGGAUUAGAUACCCUGUAGUCCACGCCGUAACGAUGUCAACUAGCCGUUGGAAUCCUUGAAA